UUUUUAUGUGGACCUCUGUCCUUGUGCCUCUGGUGCUUGGAUGGAACCACAUAAGCAGGUGAAACUUCUUAGAGGAACUGGCGUUCGAAAAGGCGCACGAGAAAGAGCAAUAACAGGUCUGUGAUGCCCUAAGAUGUCCGGGGCCGCACGCGUGCUACAAUGACGAUGCUACUGAGCAUGAUUAACUUGUCCGAAAGGAUUGGUGAAACUGUUCAAUCAUCGUCGUGACUGGGAUUGGGGUUUGCAAUUGUCCCCCAUGAACCAGGAAUUCCUAGUAAGCACAAGUCAUAAGCUUGUGCUGAUUACGUCCCUGCCCUUUGUACACACCGCCCGUCGCUACUACCGAUUGAAUGGUUUAGCAAGGACAUUGGAUUGAGCCCUUGCGGUUUCGGCUGCUUGGGUUUGAGAAGAUGUCCGAACUUGAUCAUUUAGAGGAAGUAAAAGUCGUAACAAGGUUUCCGUAGGUGAACCUGCGGAAGGAUCAUUA
Molecule: ribosomal RNA, 487 nt
Filed under: Dactylogyrus rarissimus
Lineage: Eukaryota; Metazoa; Platyhelminthes; Monogenea; Dactylogyridea; Dactylogyridae
Description: bacterial SSU rRNA
Rfam family: Eukaryotic small subunit ribosomal RNA
Source: RNAcentral